CCUACGGGUGGCAGCAGUGAGGAAUAUUGGUCAAUGGCCGUAAGGCUGAACCAGCCAAGUCGCGUGAAGGAAGAAGGAUCUAUGGUUUGUAAACUUCUUUUAUAGGGGAAUAAAGGUAUCCACGUGUGGCUAUUUGCAUGUACCCUAUGAAUAAGCAUCGGCUAACUCCGUGCCAACAGCCGCGGUAAUACGGAGGAUGCGAGCGUUAUCCGGAUUUAUUGGGUUUAAAGGGAGCGUAGAUGGGUUGUUAAGUCAGUUGUGAAAGUUUGGGGCUCAACCGUAAAAUUGCAAUUGAUACUGGCAGUCUUGAGUACAGGUGAGGUAAGCGGAAUGCGUGGUGUAGCGGUGAAAUGCUUAGAUAUCACGAAGAACCCCGAUUGCGAAGGCAGCUUACUAAACUGUGACUGACAUUGAUGCUCGAAAGUGUGGGUAUCAAACAGGAUUAGAUACCCCAGUAGUC
This 460-nucleotide ribosomal RNA is filed under the name uncultured bacterium. RNAcentral describes it as "partial 16S ribosomal RNA". It matches the Rfam family "Bacterial small subunit ribosomal RNA", at positions 338 to 795 of the family's 1533-position model. The record is from RNAcentral.